AGAGUUUGAUCCUGGCUCAGGAUGAACGCUAGCGGCAGGCUUAAUACAUGCAAGUCGUGGGGCAGCGGGGGUAGCAAUACCCGCCGGCGACCGGCAAACGGGUGCGGAACACGUACGCAACCUUCCUUUAACUGGAGAAUAGCCCCUCGAAAGAGGGAUUAAUACUCCGUAACAUAUUGAUAAGGCAUCUUAUUAAUAUUAUAGCUCCGGCGGUUAAAGAUGGGCGUGCGCCUGAUUAGAUAGUUGGCGGGGUAACGGCCCACCAAGUCUGCGAUCAGUAACUGGUGUGAGAACACGACCAGUCACACGGGCACUGAGACACGGGCCCGACUCCUACGGGAGGCAGCAGUAAGGAAUAUUGGUCAAUGGACGCAAGUCUGAACCAGCCAUGCCGCGUGGAGGAUUAAGGCCCUCUGGGUUGUAAACUCCUUUUAUCUGGGAAGAAAUGCAUUUUUUCUAAAGUGCUUGACGGUACCAGAGGAAUAAGCACCGGCUAACUCCGUGCCAGCAGCCGCGGUAAUACGGAGGGUGCAAGCGUUAUCCGGAUUCACUGGGUUUAAAGGGUGCGUAGGCGGGCAGGUAAGUCCGUGGUGAAAUCUCUGAGCUUAACUCAGAAACUGCCAUGGAUACUAUUUGUCUUGAAUAUUGUGGAGGUAAGCGGAAUAUGUCAUGUAGCGGUGAAAUGCUUAGAUAUGACAUAGAACACCAAUUGCGAAGGCAGCUUACUACACAGUUAUUGACGCUGAGGCACGAAAGCGUGGGGAUCAAACAGGAUUAGAUACCCUAGUAGUCC
This 793-nucleotide ribosomal RNA is filed under the name uncultured bacterium. RNAcentral's name for it is "bacterial SSU rRNA". It matches the Rfam family "Bacterial small subunit ribosomal RNA", at positions 8 to 796 of the family's 1533-position model. The record is from RNAcentral.